Molecule: ribosomal RNA, 567 nt
Filed under: uncultured bacterium
Lineage: Bacteria
Description: bacterial SSU rRNA
Rfam family: Bacterial small subunit ribosomal RNA
Source: RNAcentral
CCUACGGGAGGCAGCAGUGGGGAAUAUUGGGCAAUGGAGGAAACUCUGACCCAGCGACGCCGCGUGCGGGAUGAAGGCCUUCGGGUUGUAAACCGCUUUCAGCAGGGAAUAAGCGCAAGUGAAGGUACCUGCAGAAGAAGCACCGGCUAACUAUGUGCCAGCAGCCGCGGUAAUACAUAGGGUGCAAGCGUUGUCCGGAAUUAUUGGGCGUAAAGAGCUCGUAGGUGGUUUGUUACGUCGGUUGUGAAAUUCAGGGGCUCAACCCCUGACUUGCAGCCGAUACGGGCAAGCUAGAGUUUGGUAGGGGAGACUGGAAUUCCUGGUGUAGCGGUGGAAUGCGCAGAUAUCAGGAGGAACACCGAUGGCGAAGGCAGGUCUCUGGGCCAAUACUGACACUGAGGAGCGAAAGCGUGGGGAGCGAACAGGAUUAGAUACCCUGGUAGUCCACGCCGUAAACGGUGGGCGCUAGUUGUGCGAACCUUCCACGGUUUGUGCGACGCAGCUAACGCAUUAAGCGCCCCGCCUGGGGAGUACGAUCGCAAGAUUAAAACUCAAAUGAAUUGACGG